Molecule: long non-coding RNA, 1389 nt
Filed under: Solanum tuberosum (potato)
Lineage: Eukaryota; Viridiplantae; Streptophyta; Magnoliopsida; Solanales; Solanaceae
Description: long non-coding RNA (STUB_LNC005354)
Source: RNAcentral
ACAUCAUACCAUACGUACAUACACAGUACCCCACCGCCCAACUUCAUCUUCCUCGCUGAAAAUCAGCAAUCAGCAGCAGCGACCCCACCCCAUACUUGCCUUCGUCUUCUUCACGCUAAAUCAACCCGGAAAUUGCGUCUCUUACCUUGCCAGAACCCAUACCCUGCAUACCCAUCACCCUCACGUCCCCUUUCCCUCAUUUUAAGGGAUUUUUUCAAAGCUUUUUACUGUUGUCUUGAAAAGGGGCAGAUUGAAUUCAAAUUUGGAAUUCAAUAUUUCACACGAUUUCCCCCUAAUUUCCAUCUAUAUAUUUAUCUAUUUUAGUCACUGUAAGGGGAGUUCUUUUUUUUUAGAAGUUGGAGUUUUCAGCAAAUAAGCACUUUACACUUUAGAAUUUCGCAUUUAAUCCUUCGAUUCUAAGUUCCGAUUCUCUUGGCUUGCUGUCCGUAUUAAGAUUUCGUGGUAGAAGAAUCGCUUCUCUCAAACUCAUUCGUUCCAGUCGCUGCCCUUUUAAAGGUAAACUUUCAUCGUCUUAUUUAAAUUCUUGUAUAUUCUUGAUAUAUUGAUUAUUUUGUUAUUGUUGUUAGCUGAUUACCCCGUUUUCCUUCUUAUUGAGCAGUUCGAUUUUUUUAAUUUUUUUUUUGUAAAUCUGAUUCUGUUUGUUUUUAAGUAUGUGAAUCUCCAUUUUGAUCAGCUUUUAUUUUGGCGUUUAAAGCGUCGGUAUUGGUAUGUUGUUUGCGAUUUUUCUCGUAUAGGAGAUACUAUGGUUUGAGUUUAUUUGUUGUAUCCUUUGUUGUGCCGAAGUUUCAAUUCUUAGCUUGGAUUUUAGUCACCCAUUUCGUAGAAUCCGUUUUGCCUCGUGUUGAUUUUCACCUUCUAUUCGUAUUCUAGUGUACUAUCUGAUAUGUCAGUUUAGCUUUGGGAUAUAGCUUCUCAUUAUGCACAUGAUUCAUGUCCUAAUCUUUAUGUUUGAUCAAAUUUUAUUCCAUCUAAUUUACAUCAUGAUGAGAGCAAUAUGUGAUAUAUGUUUGAUACGAUAAAUAUUGUAAUCCAUGUCGUGGUUAUUUUUGUUCAUGUUGGCAGUGUUUUUGGUCCAUGUAGUUUCUUUAUUCUGGUGUCAAUUGGCAUCCUUUGGUUGGUGGUUCUUUGGUUCAAAAUUUCAAUAUUAUUCAAGCAUAAAUCUGGCCAAGAAUAAGGAUGGCUAUCUCUGCCCCUUUCUCAUUGUCAAUCUAGUUAAAAAUAAAAAUAAAUAGCCUAUCUUAUCUUGUUGUUAGAGCUCUUUGUUAUUCUCAUCUCAUAUGUACAAGAGAGCCAAGUACAAUUUGUAUUUAAAAUAUAUAUAUAUAUAUAUAUAUAUAUAUAUAUAUAUAUAUAUAUAUAUAUAUAUAU